UGAGGAAUAUUGGUCAAUGGGCGAGAGCCUGAACCAGCCAAGUCGCGUGAGGGACGACGGCCCUACGGGUUGUAAACCUCUUUUGCCGGGGGACAAACGGCGGCACGCGUGCCGUCCUGAGGGUACCCGGAGAAAAAGCAUCGGCUAACUCCGUGCCAGCAGCCGCGGUAAUACGGAGGAUGCGAGCGUUAUCCGGAUUUAUUGGGUUUAAAGGGUGCGUAGGCGGGAUGCCAAGUCAGCGGUCAAAUACGGGGGCUCAACCUGCGUCCGCCGUUGAAACUGGCGUUCUUGAGUGGGCGAGAAGUACGCGGAAUGCGUGGUGUAGCGGUGAAAUGCAUAGAUAUCACGCAGAACCCCGAUUGCGAAGGCAGCGUACCGGCGCCCGACUGACGCUGAAGCA
Molecule: ribosomal RNA, 400 nt
Filed under: uncultured bacterium
Lineage: Bacteria
Description: bacterial SSU rRNA
Rfam family: Bacterial small subunit ribosomal RNA
Source: RNAcentral